GUUAACUGUUAAAUUUGCAGUGCAUCAUUCGAAGUGUGCAACAUCAGCGUACUUAUAUCUGCCUUAGACUCUUUAUUUGUGCAAAAUAACGUUGUCAAAAACUUUACUUUCGUUUUUAAAACUAAUACCGGAUGUUAUCUUGACAAUGGUAAAACAUGGACCAGAGACGGAUACGUAAAUUCCGUGUACGUUUGCAAAGCAUGAAUGAGUAUUUAUCGAAGCUUCCAGAGUCUUUCAUCCAAUUCUUCAUACAUGGGAAAAUACUAUUCAUAACUACCUCUCUAAAGGAGUCCCUGUUGAAAAUUCAGAAUUUAAAUUUAUUUUUGAUCCACCAUCUAGCUCAAAAUACACAUUGUAUGACCAGUGCAAAAUUAUUUCCUGCGUACCAAAUGACCAUUAUUGGAAUGAGGGAACCAAUGCUCAUGUUGGCUAUGGUAGAAUGCUAUCCGUCCGUGAUUCCACUGAGAAAUAUAAGCCUGCUUCUCUUCGUAAUUUGAUACUUUUCCAUCACAGAGAAUCCAACUACUCUGCAAUAUUUCGAUUAGUUGACAAGUUUCGUAACCCAGAGUCUUCUCCAGCCAAUUCACGGCAGUGUUAACGUAUAUUUGUUCCGCCUAACAGAAGUUCCACUGGAAACUUUGUUAUAAACAAUGUCAUAAUAUCUAUUCCUGUUGUAACAAAUAUUCUAUACCAUUUAUUCCGUUAGGAACAUAUACUGUAAUAUUUAUUCCUGUGGAAAUAAUAUUCCAGAAUAUUUUUUCCUUUUGGAACUUAUAUCAUGAAGGAACUUCUAUUCUGUGACAGCAGAACAUCAAUGACGACAAUAUCAACAUUGGGGACAAUAUGCAAAAUUCUACUCUGAGACAAGUAAGACCUAAACGAAAAGCUUUAAAUGAAGAGGAUAUUUUAAGAAACCUUAGAUCUGUAAAUCCUCUCUUUACACACACAACAGGGCUUCAGAAAAUUCCUUGUAUGAAAAGUAUAAAACAGCUCAAAUUGAGACUGGAGGUUUAUUUUGGCGUGUACACAAAUCAGAUACCGAUGUCCUCUGUUUAAAUGAUGUCAACAUGACCACUGGAUGUUUAAUGGAGUCAUCUUUUGUUCACAUGUCGAGGAGAACUGUUGGGAAUGUCAACGUAUACCAUUGCACAUGUACACUGUUUGCAACUUUAUUACAGCUCCCAACAUUAGAUGAACAGCCUGACACAGAAAUAGAUUCUAUUAUCAUCAAAUGCUGCCAUAUAAGGUAUUUCAAAGAAAUUAUUGAACCAGAUUAUCCCAUCUACUUCAGCACAGAAUUUUUUACAUCACCAACAAAAUCUCAGAAAAGUAUAAUGAUAUCUUUGGCUGCUUUACAAAAACCUGUAAUUUUACUUCUGUCUUCUCUUCGAACCAAAAAAUUUUCAGUUGUACCAAACAGUAGUCAAGAUUGUAAGUUUGUGAAUGUUUCCAGAAACCAUGUAUCAUGCCAGUCCGGUGAAUGUAGUGCCAUUUACAGUUUUUCUACUCGGAAAGUCAUAUACUUGAGCGAAACAACUAAUAUUUGUCCUCAUCUGCAAGCAAUGAAAAACCACAAAAAUUUAUGGAUGAAUGUUAAUUAUAUCGAAGAAGACUUUGAAGAUGAAGAUGAGGAAGCAUUUAUUGAUAAUGAGGAAGAUGAGAAUGAUCUGGAGGAUACUUAUCAACCAGAAACUACUCAAACAAAGAGGUAAUGGCUAAACGUACACCGGGUUUUAAAUCUGCAAAACAGAAGCGAAAAUCAGAGGCAGUUUCUGAAGCUCAAAGAAGAUGAUGGGAGACAUCAAAACUUGUUCAGGACCACCCAUACGCUGUUAUUUCUGAGCGCAAUUCCAAUAAACCGGAUAUAUCAAACUGUAUUAAUGAGGAGGUCAUUGACGUUGACGGUAGCAAUGUAACUGCAGUUUUUACAGAAUGGAGAGUUGGUCGUAGGGUCGUGGAAUUGGGAGUUUUGGCGGAUGGGUUAUCAGCUUGCAAGAAAUGCGGUCUUCCCCUUUCUUUGCAAAACUGCAGCAACAUUAACUCGUACGGUCUAGCUGCCAUUUUGAAGAUUGUAUGUGCCAACACAGCCUGUCUCAACACAAAUCUCAUUCCCACAGGAAAAAGACAUGGAAAAGUAUGGGAUGUCAAUUCCAAAUUAGCAGCAGGACUUGGAGAGCAGCAAGUGAAUGGAAUUUUAGCAGAGCUGAAUAUUCCAACAGUCAGCCAUUCCAUGUUGGAUGAACGACAAAAAGAAAUUGGAGGGGUAAUUGAGAAUGUUGCAGAGGAGUCUAUUAAAGAGUGG
Mytilus californianus (California mussel) is the source of this 2302-nucleotide long non-coding RNA. RefSeq lists it as uncharacterized. The record is from RefSeq and is a predicted model, not a curated record. The transcript has 4 exons. NCBI's taxonomy places the organism in Eukaryota, Metazoa, Mollusca, Bivalvia, Mytilida, Mytilidae.